RNAcentral lists this ribosomal RNA (253 nucleotides) under uncultured bacterium. Its description in RNAcentral is "partial 16S ribosomal RNA". It matches the Rfam family "Bacterial small subunit ribosomal RNA", at positions 524 to 776 of the family's 1533-position model. The record is from RNAcentral.
CACGAACCCGACAAACGUUAUUCGGAAUUAUUGGGCUUAAAGGGUGUGAAGGCGGUGCGGUAAGUGCGGUGUGAAAGCCCACGGCUCAACCGUGGAAUUGCGCUGCAUACUGCCGUGCUGGAGGAAGACAGGGGUAAGCGGAACUGAUGGUGGAGCGGUGAAAUGCGUUGAUAUCAUCAGGAACACCGGUGGCGAAAGCGGCUUACUGGGUCUUUUCUGACGCUGAGGCACGAAAGCUAGGGUAGCGAACGGG